GAUGAACGCUGGCGGCGUGCCUAAUACAUGCAAGUCGAGCGAACGGACGAGAAGCUUGCUUUUCUGAUGUUAGCGGCGGACGGGUGAGUAACACGUGGAUAACCUACCUAUAAGACUGGGAUAACUUCGGGAAACCGGAGCUAAUACCGGAUAAUAUUUUGAACCGCAUGGUUCAAAAGUGAAAGACGGUCUUGCUGUCACUUAUAGAUGGAUCCGCGCUGCAUUAGCUAGUUGGUAAGGUAACGGCUUACCAAGGCAACGAUGCAUAGCCGACCUGAGAGGGGGAUCGGCCACACUGGAACUGAAACACGGUCCAGACUCCUACGGGAGGCAGCAGUAGGGAAUCUUCCGCAAUGGGCGAAAGCCUGACGGAGCAACGCCGCGUGAGUGAUGAAGGUCUUCGGAGCGUAAAACUCUGUUAUUAGGGAAGAACAUAUUUGUAAGUAACUGUGCACAUCUUGACGGUACCUAAUCAGAAAGCCACGGCUAACUACGUG
Molecule: ribosomal RNA, 497 nt
Filed under: uncultured bacterium
Lineage: Bacteria
Description: partial 16S ribosomal RNA
Rfam family: Bacterial small subunit ribosomal RNA
Source: RNAcentral